RNAcentral lists this ribosomal RNA (437 nucleotides) under uncultured bacterium. RNAcentral's name for it is "bacterial SSU rRNA". It matches the Rfam family "Bacterial small subunit ribosomal RNA", at positions 29 to 507 of the family's 1533-position model. The record is from RNAcentral.
AGUGAACGCUAGCGGUGCGCCUAACACAUGCAAGUCGAGCGAGGCUUCGAGCCGAGCGGCGAACGGCUGCGUAACACGUUGGUACCUGCCCUAAACUCAGGGGAUAACCCCGCGAAAGCGGGGAUAAUACCGGAUAGUCCUGCAAAGGUAAAGAUUUUUCGGUUUAGGAGGGGCCUGCGGCCUAUCAGCUAGUUGGUAAGGUAAUGGCUUACCAAGGCUAUGACGGGUAGCUGAUCUGAGAGGAUGAUCAGCCAGAAUGGGACUGAGACACGGCCCAUACUCCUACGGGAGGCAGCAGUGAGGAAUAUUCCGCAAUGGGGGGAAACCCUGACGGAGCGACACCGCGUGGAGGAUGACGACUUUUUAGUUGUAAACUCCUGUCCUGAGGGAAGAAAUUUUUGACUGUACCUCAGAAGAAAGCACCGGCUAAUUCUGUG